RNAcentral lists this ribosomal RNA (618 nucleotides) under uncultured Actinomycetes bacterium. Its description in RNAcentral is "bacterial SSU rRNA". It matches the Rfam family "Bacterial small subunit ribosomal RNA", at positions 252 to 866 of the family's 1533-position model. Lineage: Bacteria; Bacillati; Actinomycetota; Actinomycetes. The record is from RNAcentral.
GUGGGGUAAUGGCCUACCAAGGCUUUGACGGGUAGCCGGCCUGAGAGGGUGACCGGCCACACUGGGACUGAGACACGGCCCAGACUCCUACGGGAGGCAGCAGUGGGGAAUAUUGGACAAUGGGCGGAAGCCUGAUCCAGCAACGCCGCGUGAGGGAUGACGGCCUUCGGGUUGUAAACCUCUUUCACCAUUGACGAAGUCGCAUCUUUUUGGGUGUGGUGACGGUAGGUGGGGAAGAAGCACCGGCCAACUACGUGCCAGCAGCCGCGGUAAUACGUAGGGUGCGAGCGUUGUCCGGAAUUAUUGGGCGUAAAGGGCUCGUAGGCGGUUUGUCGCGUCGGGAGUGAAAACCUCGGGCUUAACUCGGGGCUUGCUUUCGAUACGGGCAGACUAGAGGUAUGCAGGGGAGAACGGAAUUCCUGGUGUAGCGGUGAAAUGCGCAGAUAUCAGGAGGAACACCGGUGGCGAAGGCGGUUCUCUGGGCAUGAUCUGACGCUGAGGAGCGAAAGUGUGGGGAGCGAACAGGAUUAGAUACCCUGGUAGUCCACACCGUAAACGUUGGGCGCUAGGUGUGGGGUCCAUUCCACGGGUUCCGUGCCGCAGCUAACGCAUUAAGCG